UGGCCACCAAAAGCUGGAAUCCGAACCAAACGCUCAGCUUCGAGACGGCUUUUGGUGGAAGCGCCUCCGUCCACAGCCCAUUUACCACAGACCACGAGAAGCCAACCGAAGUCCGUGUCUUCAGGAAGUCGGAUGACUUCUCGCAUUCCACACGGGUGAUUCCUUCGUCCCCAACCCUAAGGUUUCGGCAACCUGUCGUUCCCGUGUCUCCGCCGCCACUUCGGACGGUCUAGCUCCACCAUCGUCCGCCCAUCGCCACGGUAAGACUUUCUCCCCCUGUGCCAGUUGAUUUUUUCUCGUCGUGCCCUCUGUUUGGUCGCCAUCUGACAUCCGCCUUCUCCAUCGGAUGCUCUUUCUGCUAGACCUUCGCGUUGUUACCAAGGUCAAUCGCCGCCAUUUUGCCGGCAUGACACAUUUCGUCUCCUCCAUUACGUCGUCUUGUUCGUCCUUGCUUUUGCUCUAACUGCUCGUUCGUUGGCCUUGCAGGUGAAUCCAAGGUUGCAUUUUCGCGAUACGCUUCGAAUCCGUUCGUUGAUCCCGAUAGUUCACGUUGCUAGUGGCCAGUAUGUCGUUUCCAUCCUUCAAUCCUCAUUUCUCGAUUGGAUAUGAUUCAAAUCGAACCGUAUUUUGUUUAUUUGGCCCCUCACUGCUCCCUUUGAUUCGUUUCUAAGAGAACUUAGAGCGGAGUGAAUAGGUGAUCCUGUAAAAAUUUAAAACUUGUAGCCACAAAACUUGGUUAAGUGUUAGCACAAUGAAAUCAAGUGGCUAAGGACCGAGCUCUUGUGAAACACAAUGGUCACAAGGAAAACAAGCACAAGAGACACGGUGAUUUAUCCCGUGGUUCGGCCAAGUAUAACACUUGCCUACUCCACGUUGUGGCGUCCCAAUGGACGAGGGUUGCACUCAACCCCUCUCAAGUGAUCCAAUGACCGACUUGAAUACCGGUGUUUUCUUUCUUAUACUCUUUCCCGUUUGCGAGGAAUCUCCACAACUUGGAGCCUCUCGCCCUUACAAUUGAUGAUCAAAAAGAAGCACGGAAGUAAGGUUGGGAAGAGCAACACACACAAGACUCAAAGCACGAGCACAAUCACGCACACAAGCCACAACUUGAGCUCACAACACAACUCAAGGAGUUCUCUACUCAAAUGGAGCUCAAGUCACUAUCUCAAAGAAUCGAAUGCGCGAGAAUGGAGUCUUGGUGCUUAGGAAUGAUCAAGGAAUGCUUGAGUGACUCCUCCCUAUGCCUAGGGGUCCCUUUUAUAGCCCCAAGGCAGCUAGGAGCCGUUGGAACCCAACAAGGAAGGCAAUUCUUGCCUUCUGUCGGGUGGCGCACCGGACAGUCCAGUGCACCACCGGACAACCACUGUAGCAUGUUCGGUGCGGAUCUCCUUCCAUUCCUGGCGCAGCCGACCGUUGGAUCUUUGGGCUAGUUGGCGCACCGGACACUGUCCGGUGCACACUGGACAGUCCAAUGCCCCCAGCCGACCGUUGGCUGGGGCCACGCGUCGCGCGCGGAUUGCGCGGCCGACCGUUGCGCUGGCGGCCGUUGGCUCACCGGACAGUCCGGUGCACCACCGGACAGUCCGGUGAAUUAUAGCCGUAAGCCGCCGACGAAUUACCAAGAGUGGCCAGUUCGCCAGAGCCCAGCCUGACGCACCGGACAUUGUCUGGUGCACCCAGACUGAGCAGCAUUUGGCUGUACACAGCCAACUCUUUUCCAAUCCUUUUCUUUUCCUGAUUCUAGCACUUAGACAAAUAUAUUAGUACACAAAAACCAAUGUACUAAGUCUAGAACCAUACCUUCUUGUCGAUUUGCACUUCAUCCAUCAUUUGGUAUAUAAUUACUCACUCAAUAUGUGUUGGGCACUUAAUCACCAAAAUAUACUAGAAAUGGCCCAAGGGCACAUUUCCCUUUCAAUCUCCCCCUUUUUGGUGAUUUAUGCCAACACAUCAAAAAGCAACAAAUAGAGGUGCAACGUCAAUGCAAUUGAGAAUAAAAAUAGUCUUUGACAAGAUUUGACAUAUUUGGAUCGUUCUUCGCCACCACUUGGUUUGUUUUUGCAAAUCAAAUUCAUUUUCCUAUCUCUAAGUUAAACACACAUGUUUAGACACAAGGAGAGAUAAUCCAAGAGUAAAAAUGAUUAAUAGCCAAAAACUCCCCCUUUUUCCCAUAAUCAAACAUUCUCCCCACAAGAGACCAAAUUUUGAUAGUAAGAGUUAUUUUGACAAAUCAAAAGUUCUACUCUACUCUUUUUCAAAAAUUUUACAAGUGGUAGCUGAUCCAUUUGCUUUGGCCUUAUUUUCUCCCCCUUUGGCAUUAAGCACCAAAACGGGAUCAAUCUUGGCCCUUAAACCCCAUUGCCUCACCAAAAUCGUCAAUUACGAGUAAAAAGGCAAUAAGAGCAUGGAGAUGAACUUGGAGUAAAUUACCCUCUCAUCGGAGUGCAGUGGAAGUCUUGCAUGGUCCAAGUUCACCUUUCCCUUUCAAUCCACUUUUGAGACUCAAACAAGUAAACUCAAACACAAGGUUAGUCUCAAAGUGUCAAGUUGUAGCAUGCCUCCCCCUAAAUAAGUGCAUCACUUGCAAAUGGACUUGUGAGGUCCGGGGAUCAUGUGUACAACUUGAGCACCACAAAUGAACAAAAUAGAUUGAAAUGCAUAAAUUACAUGAUCAAAGGCAUAAAACACAUGUAUGUUAUAGAUCAAUCCAAGUUACGCGAAUCUAAGACAUUUAGUUCACUACGUAGCCUGCAAAAGGUCUUUUCAUCUAAAGGCUUGGUAAAGAUAUCGGCUAGCUGGUUCUCGGUGCUAACAUAAAACACUUCGAUAUCUCUCUUUUGCUGGUGGUCUCUCAAAAAGUGAUGCCGAAUGUCUAUGUGCUUAGUGCGGCUGUGUUCAACAGGAUUAUCCGCCAUGCGGAUUGCACUCUCAUUAUCACAUAGGAGUGGGACUUUGCUUAGAUUGUAGCCAAAGUCUCGGAGGGUUUGCCUCAUCCAAAGUAGUUGCGUGCAACAUUGUCCUGCGGCAACAUACUCGGCCUCAACGGUGGAUAGGGCAACGGAAGUUUGUUUCUUUGAACUCCAAGACACUAGGGACCUUCCUAGGAAUUGGCAUGUCCCUGAUGUACUCUUCCUAUCAACCUUGCACCCGGCAUAAUCGGAGUCUGAAUAUCCAAUCAAGUCAAAGGUAGACCCCUUUGGAUACCAGAUCCCGAAGCAAGGCGUAGCAACUAAAUAUCUAAGAAUCCGCUUAACGGCCACAAGGUGACAUUCCCUUGGGUCAGAUUGAUAUCUAGCACACAUGCAAACGCUGAGCAUAAUAUCCGGUCUACUAGCACAUAAGUAAAGCAAGGAACCUAUCAUAGACCGGUAUGCCUUUUGAUCAACGGACUUACCUCUUUUGUUGAGGUCGACAUGUCCGUCGGUUCCCAUUGGAGUCUUUGCGAGCUUUGUGUCCUUCAUCCCAAACCGCUUGAGCAAGUCUUGCGUGUACUUCGUUUGGGAGAUGAAGGUGUCGUCCUUGAGUUGCUUCACUUGGAACCCAAGGAAGUAGUUUAACUCGCCCAUCAUCGACAUCUCAAAUUUCUGAGUCAUCACCCUGCUAAACUCUUCACAAGACUUUUGGUUAGUAGAACCAAAUAUUAUGUCAUUGACAUAAAUUUGGCACACAAAUAAGUCACCAUCACAAGUCUUAGUGAAUAGAGUUGGAUCGGCUUUCCCAACCUUGAAAGCAUUAGCAAUUAGAAAAUCUCUAAGGCAUUCAUACCAUGCUCUUGGGGCUUGCUUAAGUCCAUAGAGCGCCUUAGAGAGCUUACACACAUGAUCGGGGUACCGUUCAUCCUCAAAGCUAGGGGGUUGCUAUACGUACACCUCCUCCUUGAUUGCCCAUUGAGGAAAGCGCUCUUCACAUCCAUUUGGAACAACCUGAAGGAAUGGUGAGCGACAUAGGCUAACAAAAUGCGAAUAGACUCUAGCCUAGCCACAGGAGCAAAAGUCUCCUCAAAGUCCAAACCUGCGACUUGGGCAUAACCUUGUGCCACAAGUUGAGCCUUGUUCCUUGUCACCACCCCGUGCUCAUCCUGUUUGUUGCGGAACACCCACUUGGUUCCCACAAUGUUUUGCUUGGGACGUGGCACCAGGGUCCAAACUUUAUUUCGCUUGAAGUUGUUGAGCUCUUCCUGCAUGGCCAACACCCAAUCCGGAUCUAGCAAGGCCUCUUCUACCCUGAAAGGCUCAAUAGAAGAGACAAACGAGUAAUGCUCACAAAAAUUAGCUAAUCUAGAGCGAGUAGUUAUUCCCUUGCUUAUAUCACCCAAAAUCUAGUCGACAGGAUGAUUCUUUUGAAUCAUCGCUCGGACUUGAGUUGGAGGGGCCAGUGGUGCUUCUUCCUCCACAACUUGUUCUUCUUGUGCUCCCCCUUGAUCACACGCCUCCUCUUGAGGAGCAUGUUCUUCAUCUUGAGUCGGGGGAUGCACCAUCGUUGAGGAAGAAGGUUGAUCUUGCUCUUGGUGUUCCUGUGGUCGCACAUCUCCAAUAGCCAUGGUGUGAAUUGCGUCCGUUGGAACAUCAUCUUCAUCUACAUCAUCAAGAUCAACUUGCUCUCUUGGAGAGCCAUUAGUUUUAUCAAAUACAACGUCGCUAGAGACUUCAACCAAACCCGAUGAUUUGUUGAAGACUCUAUACACUUUUGUAUUUGAGUCAUAACCUAAUAAAAACCCUUCUACAGCUUUGGGAGCAAAUUUGGAAUUCCUACCUUUCUUCACUAGAAUGUUACAUUUACUCCCAAAUACACGAAAAUAUGAAACGUUGGGUUUGUUACCGGUUAGAAGUUCGUAUGACGUCUUCUUGAGGAGGCGAUGAAGGUAGACCCGGUUUAUGGCGUGGCAAGCUGUGUUCACAGCUUCCGACCAAAACCGCUCGGGUGUCUUGAAUUCUCUAAGCAUCGUCCUCGCCAUGAAUAUAAGCGUCCUGUUCUUCCUCUCUACCACACCAUUUUGCUAUGGUGUGUAGGGAGCAGAUAACUCGUGCUUGAUUCCUUCCUCCUCAAGAAACUCUUCCACUUGAAGAUUCUUGAACUCGGACCCGUUGUCGCUUCUUAUAUUUUUCACCUUGAGCUCAAAUUCGUUUUGAGCUCUCCUUAGGAAGCGCUUUAGGGUCCCUUGGGUUUCUGAUUUAUCCUGCAAAAAAGAAUACCCAAGUGAAGCGGGAAAAAUCAUCAACAAUAAUAAGACCAUACUUACUUCCCCCGAUGCUGAGGUAGGCGACGGGUCCGAAGAGGUCCAUGUGAAGUAGCUCCAGAGGUCUUGAUGUGGUCAUCACAUUCUUGCUGUGGUGAGUACUUCCCACUUGUUUACCUGCUUGACAAGCUGCACAAGGUCUAUCUUUUUCGAAAGUUACAUUGGUUAGACCUAACACAUGUUCUCCCUUUAGAAGUUUAUGAAGGUUCUUCAUCCCAACAUGUGCUAGACGGUGAUGCCACAGCCAGCCCAUGCUAGUCUUAGCGAUUAAGCAUGCAUCUAGAUUGGCCUCCUCUUUCGAAAAAUCAACUAAAUAGAGUUUGCCGUCUAGUACACCCUUAAAAGCUAAUGAACCAUCACUCCUUCUAAAGACAGACACAUCUACAUUGGUAAAUAAGCAAUUGUAACCCAUAUUACAUAGUUGACUAACGGACAACAAGUUAUACCCGAGUGAUUCAACUAAGAACACAUUAGAUAUGGAAUGCGCGGAUGAAAUAGCUAUCUUUCCUACUCCUUUAACCUUGCCUUGAUUCCCGUCUCCAAAGAUGAUCGAAUCUUGGGAAUCUUUGUUCUUGACAUAGGAGGUGAACAUCUUCUUCUCCCUCGUCAUGUGGUUUGUGCAUCCGCUGUCGAUAAUCUAGCUUGAGCCCCCGGAUGCAUAAACCUGCAAGGCAAAUUAGGCUUGGGUUUUAGGUACCCAACUCUUGUUGGGUCCUACAAGGUUAGUAACAAUAGCCUUAGGGACCCAAAUGCAAGUCUUGUCUCCCUUGCAUUUGGCCCCCAUCUUUUGAGCAACCACUUUUUCAUUUUUACGUGAAAGAACAAAUGUAGUGUUGCAAGCAUGAAAAAUAGUGGUAGGUUUAUUACAGACUUUUCGAGGAGCAUGAGACACAAAAUUUCUCCUAGACCUACCAUUAACAUUGGAACUUGAAGCAAUCAUGGCAUGUGAGUCAAAAACAUUAUAACUCCUAUUAUAAUGAAAAUUUCUAGAAUAUUUUUUAUCAUGGUACAUGAAAGCAUGAUUCUUUUGACUACUACUAGCCAUUGGGGCCUUCCCUUUCUCCUUGUUGGAAAUGGGAGCCCUUUGACUUGUUAAGUUCUUGGCUUCCCUUCAAAAGCCAAGCCCAUCCUUAAUUGAGGGAUGUCUACCAACGGUGUAGGCAUCCCUAGCAAAUUUUAAUUUAUCAAAGUCAUUUUUGCAAGUCUUAAGUUGGGCAUUAAGACUUGCUAUUUCAUCAUUAAGUUUUGUAAUAGAAGUAAGGUGCUCAACACAUGCAUCAACGUUGAAGUCCUUACACCUAUUACAAAUCACAACGUGCUCUACACAAGAACUAGAUUUAUUUACUACUUCUAGCUUAGCAUUUAAAUCAUCAUUAAUACUUUUUAAGUUAGACACAGUUUCAUGAUAAGUAGAUAAUUCACAAGAAAGCAUUUCAUUUCUUUUAACCUCUAAAGCAAGAGACUUUUGCACACUUACAAAUUUAUCAUGCUCUUCAUAUAAGGAUCCUCUUGCUUUUCUAAAAGUCUAUUCUUUUCAUUUAGAGCAUCAAUCAUUUCAUUGAAUUUUUCUACCUUGGCUCUAUCUAAACCUUUAAAUAAGCUAGAAUAGUCUACUUCAUCAUCACUAGAAUCUUCAUCGCUAGAAGUAGUAUAUUUAGGAGUUUCUCGAGCGCUUACCUUCUUCUCCUUUGCCAUUAGGCAAGUAUGGCGCUCGUUGGGGAAGAGAGACGACUUGUUGAAGGCCGAGGCGGCGAGUCCUUCGUCGUCGGAGUCAGACGAAGAGCAAUCUGAAUCCCACUCUUUGCCUAGGUGUGCCUCGCCCUUCGCCUUCUUGGAGGCCUUCUUCUUCUCCCUCUUCCCACCUUUUUCUUGUUCCUGGUCAUUAGCAUUAUCGGGACAAUUUGCUAUAAAAUGACCAGUCUUACCACAUUUAAAACAGGAACGCUUUCCCUUUGGUUUGCUCUUAUUGGGAUGCUCCUUUCGUCCUUUUAGCGCCGUCUUGAAGCGCUUGAUGAUGAGAUCCAUUUCAUCCUCGUUUAGCCCGACCGCCUUAACUUGCGCCACCUUGCUAGGUAGCGCCUCCCUGCUACUUGUUGCUUUGAGAGCAACGGUUUGAGGCUCGUAGAUGGGCAUUGGGCCAUUCAAUGGCUCAUCAACGUAUCUUGCUUCCUUGAUCAUCAUACGCCCGCUUACAAACUUUCCGAGUAUUUCCUCGGGCGUCAUCUUGGUAUACCUAGGAUUCUCAUGGGUUGAGUUCACAAGAUGAGGAUCAAGUACAGUGAAGGACCUGAGCAUUAGUCGGACGACGUCGUGGUCCGUCCAUCUCGUGCUUCCAUAGCUCCUGAUCUUGUUGACCAGGGUCUUGAGCCUGUUGUACGUUUGGGUUGGCUCCUCCCCCCUGAUCAUCGCGAACCUUCCUAGUUCGCCUUCCACCAACUCCAUCUUGGUGAUCAUGGUGGCGUCAUUCCCCUCAUGAGAAAUCUUGAGGGUGUCCCAAAUUUGCUUGGCGUUAUCCAAGCCGCUCACCUUGUGGUACUCGUCCCUGCACAAGGAUGCUAGCAAAACAGUGGUAGCUUGUGCAUUUUUAUGGAUUUGCUCAUUAAUGAAAACAGGGUUGUCAGUACUAUCAAAAAGCAUUCCGUUUUCAACGAUCUCCCAAAUACUUGGAUGGAGAGAGAAUAGGUGACUACGCAUUUUGUGACUCCAAAAUGAGUAGUCUUCUCCAUCAAAGUGCGGAGGUUUCCCAAGUGGAAUUGAAAGUAAAUGAGCAUUGGAGUUAAACGGAAUACGAGAAUAAUCAAAAGAAAAGUUUGAGUUAACCGGUUUCUUUUUCUCGUCGUAGUCGUUGUCUCUUGGGGAAGAAGAAGACUCGUCACUGUCGUAGUAGACGAUCUUCUUGAUGCGUCUCUUCUUCUUCCCAUCUCUUUUCUUAUGACUCGAGCUAGAGUCCGAGGGCUUAUCAUCUUUUGGCUCGUUGACGAUUACUCCUUUGUCUUGUCAUUGACCACCAUCCCCUUUCCCUUAGGAUUCAUCUCUUCAGGCGAUUAGUCCCUUUCGUGAAGAGAAUGGCUCCGAUACCAAUUGAGAGAACCUAGAGGGGGCUGAAUAGGUGAUCCUGUAAAAAUUUAAAACUUAUAGCCACAAAACUUGGUUAAGUGUUAGCACAAUGAAAUCAAGUGGCUAAGGACCGAGCUCUUGUGAAACACAAUGGUCACAAGGAAAACAAGCACAAGAGACACGGUGAUUUAUCCCGUGGUUCGGCCAAGUAUAACACUUGCCUACUCCACGUUGUGGCGUCCCAAUGGACGAGGGUUGCACUCAACCCCUCUCAAGUGAUCCAAUGAUCGACUUGAAUACCACGGUGUUUUCUUUCUUAUACUCUUUCCCGUUUGCGAGGAAUCUCCACAACUUGGAGCCUCUCGCCCUUACAAUUGAUGAUCACAAAGAAGCACGAAAGUAAGGUUGGGAAGAGCAACACACACAAGACUCAAAGCACGAGCACAAUCACGCACACAAGCCACAACUUGAGCUUACAACACAACUCAAGGAGUUCUCUACUCAAAUGGAGCUCAAGUCACUAUCUCAAAGAAUCGAAUGCACGAGAAUGAAGUCUUGGUGCUUAGGAAUGAUCAAGGAAUGCUUGAGUGACUCCUCCCUGCGCCUAGGGGUCCCUUUUAUAGCCCCAAGGCAGCUAGGAGCCGUUGGAACCCAAAAAGGAAGGCAAUUCUUGCCUUCUAUCGGGUGGCGCACCGGACAGCCACUGUAGCAUGUCCGGUGCGGAUCUCCUUCCAUUCCUAGCGCAGCCGACCGUUGGAUCUUUGGACUGGUUGGCGCACCGGACAUUGUCCGGUGCACACCGGACAGUCCGGUGCCCCCAACCGACCGUUGGCUGGGGCCACGCGUCGCGCGUGGAUUGCGCGGCCGACCGUUGCGCUGGCGGCCGUUGGCUCACCGGAUAGUCCGGUGAAUUAUAGCCGUAAGCCGCCGACGAAUUCCCGAGAGUGGCCAGUUCGCCAGAGCCCAGCCUGGCGCACCAGACACUGUCCGGUGCACCACCGGACAGUCCAAUGCACCCAGACUGAGCAGCAGUUGGCUGUACACAGCCAACUCUUUUCCAAUCCUUUUCUUUUCCUGAUUCUAUCACUUAGACAAAUAUAUUAGUACACAAAAACAAAUGUACUAAGUCUAGAACCAUACCUUCUUGUCGUUUGCACUUCAUCCAUCAUUUGGUAUAUAAUUACUCACUCAAUAUGUGUUGGGCACUUAAUCACCAAAAUAUACUAGAAAUGGCCCAAGGGCACAUUUCCCUUUCAGUUUCUGACAACAGAUUUUGAGCUAGUCCGUAGAUCUAGUUGUUGUGUUCAUCACCGGCAUCACAUUCAACUGAGGUAAAUUUCGACACCCUUGUUUUCUUUGUGAGAUGUUUGUGUACAUGUUUGCCAGUGCUUGGUUAGUUGUUGUGCUCAUUAGUUUAAUGUGAUUGUACAUAUUGUCGUACUUAUUAAGUAAUUCCGAUGAACUAUAGCAUGUGUGCAACAUUGAUAUCAAAUUGUUGUUAGUGGUUUCGUAUUUAGUGACCGUAGCCACAUCUCUGUUGUUGCUGGUUUCUCAUAUUGUCAUGCAUGUUUUCGACCUGUACGACAAAUCUGAUUUUUGUUCAGUGUUUUAGGUUUCCUGUACUAUUGGCUCAUGUCUUAACUCAAAUCUUAUUUUCGGUUAGAUGUCUUAAUUUAAAUAUGAUUUUCGGUUAGAUGGACAAAUCUGGAAAAGUGGUAGCAAAGUGGGACAUAAGGUGUCACACCCGGUUUUGGAAGGUAACCGAAUGCGAACCAUGUACGUGCCAGAAUCAGAAAUUCACAUACACAAUGAUUACAUAAAUGACUCAUCAUAGCACAGUGCUUCGAAUAACAAUAAAGAGUAAGUAAUAGUAUUAAAGACUAGAGUCAUUUACAUAAUAUAAAUCAAAGUGCACAUAAUAGAAACGUAGCCAACGUAAAUAAACCCACCACAUGCAGUAGACUGGGGGGAGGUCGCUAGCCUAAUCCUCAAAUUCGUCAAAGUCCUGGAACUUCCGGAGAUCCGCCUCGACACUUUCUUCUCCUUCUUUACCUGAGCAUAGAUUGCACCAAAGGCAAUGUAACACCCUGAAUUUGGGGGUAUAAAAUUUCUUUGCUCAUAUUCACAAAUUCAGGUGUUACUUCUCUUUUCACACCUUUCCCCAAUCUCCUCUUUCUCUUUUCUAUAGAAGAAGAGUGGUUAUUUUUAUUUGUAAUUAUAAAUUAGUGGGCUAAACUCCAAGGGGUAUGAAAUGUUGCAUCAUGUCAAACCCUAAAUUCUACUUUUGUUUGGUGCAUAAUUCUUAGAAAUGCUAAUUUGAAUUUGUGGCUUGUUUGGAUUUGAAUCAAAUAGAGUAAAUAAAAAGAAAAGGGGAAACAAAUGCCAGAAUAAAAGAAAAAGGAAAGAAGCCCGCUCCCCCCGCCCCCUCGGCCUUUCGGCCCAUCUGGCCCAUCCCGCGCGCGCCUUCCCCCCCUCUUCUCUCUCUGCCCUGGCGGGCCCGCCCGUCAGCGCGACCGCCUUCCCCGCGCCCGCUUUCCUCUCUCUCUCUGCUCGCGGGCCCGGCCUGUCAGCUUCCUCGUCCCCGCGUAACCGCCGCCCGGUCCGCGUGUGCCGCGGACUCCGCGCCCACGUCGCGCGUGGAGCUCGCAACCACCUCGCCUCGGCCACUUGAGCCCAGAGCCUCGCUCGCCCUCUCCCCCUCCCUCAGUUGCGCACCUGCAGACCCCUCUCCCACCUCCCCCACGCUGCGCACACGCCAGAGCGCCGCCGCCAUUAAACCGCCGCCGCCCGAGCUCGUUUCUCCGUCGCCGUUGGAGCCCCGCCGUGCCCUCUGCCACGGUGAGCUCCGCCUCGACGUCCGCAACCCGGGACACGCCCCAAUUUCCCCUCUCCCUCCCCGAAUCCCUCUGCCCGCGCUCACCGCCGUUCUCUGCGCAGUCGCCGAGGUCCGCCACCGUCGACUCGGGCUGCCGCCGCGUCUCCGUCGCCAUCGAGGGGUCCCCGGAGUUCGCCUUGAGGUAAGGAACCUCUCCCGCCCCCUCCCGACCUUUUUAUUGCCCCCCCGUCGCGUUUAAUUGCUCGCCGGAGUUCUUUAGCGCCACCGCCGAGCCGCUUUGCCGCGGGCCGCCCCCCUCCGGUGUCCCUGCCCCGACCCAGUCCCCACCGGAAGGUUCCCCGCGCCCUCCCCAACCUCCCCGGCCGCCCAGGUCGCCCCAAGGACCCGCAGAGCCCCCGCGCCCCUCGUCUCCGGCGAGUUCUCCGCCGCGGGGACGGGCGCCGCCGCCUCUGUUAGCCGUAGGAGAAGGAAGCCGGCCACCCAAUCCCCGCCGUCCAUUCCAGAUCGAAUGGCCCUGUUUCAAUUAGGCCGGGCCCAACCCUAGCCGUUCGCCUGAGAUCCAACGGCCCAGAGCCGUUUCCCCCGCCCCCCGCCUCCCUGCCAUUUGGGCCCCGCUUGUCAGCCGUCCGCCUGCGCGCUGCCCGCCUGGCCCCGCCUGUCAGCCGUCCGCCCCGCGCUGCCCGCCCGGCCCCGCCUGUCAGCCGCUCAGACCGCCGCGCGCUCGCGCGCUCGCCCGCGGAUCUAAUCUCGGGCGUUGAUCCGAGAUCCAACGGCUAUAAGAGCCCGAUACCCCUUCGCCCGCGCUUUUUCUUAAAGAGACCCCCGCCUUUCCGCAAAUUAACCCGCCGUCCCUGGAUUUUCACAGUUAGGUCCUCAGACCUUUUAUUUAAUUCAAAAUAAGUAUUUAAGACAUAUUUUUAAUCCCUAAUCUUGUAAAAUGCAUAACUUUGUCAUAUGAACUCCAAAUUAGGUGCUUCAAAUUGCAAAAUGCUCACAAUAUUCCUAUCUAUCUAUUUAAAUAAUGUUUCCCUGCUGUUUUUAUGUCCCAAUUAAUAGUUGGUCAUUAGGGUAAAACUAAGGUUAUUGGAACCCCUAUUUGAGAUAAAUAAAGAUAGAAGACUUUAAUAAAAGUUGGAGCACCUAGGUUUAUGGACUUAACACCAUGUAAUGAUUUAACCCCACCACUGACUUAGACCUGAUUAGUGGAUAAUGAAUCAUUUUAUAUAGUCAUCUAUCCUAGACCUAGGGAACACUAGAUUGCCAAUCCUUUUCUACUGUAAACUUGUGAUCUCUUUGCUGCAUAUGCUUGGUUUCUGUUUUUUUGUUUGUUAUUUCCCAAGUACAUAGUGUGAAUGAUUACUUUACGUAGACAACGAGCAGUCUGUGUUUCUCGAGGAAGUGGCAGAAGAAGUCCCUGAUCAGCAGUUUGGUGAAGGCAAGUGUCCUCUGACCCAUUAUGUCCUAUUUAAUUAUAAUUCACUCUCCCGCAUUACUUAAUUGAGACCUAAGGAUUGACUAGCUUUAUACUUUACCUUAUCCUUGAUGACCUUUUGGGUUAUUAUUAGGGCUAGCAUUUUGCUAUUGCCUUAACCUAAUCAAUGAACAUGAUGUGACUAUUUAUGAUACGAUACUGUUAUCCUGAUGAUAUUGAUGAUCUUGUGAUUACUCUAGGGGACUCAGGCUGUUUCCUAAGUACCUCUCCGUAAGGACCUGUUCGUUGAGAGACCACCCGGGAUAACAGUGCAACCAUAAGGGUGAAAUGGGAUGCCCUUAGCUAAUUAAUUAGAGGAACUAGAGGUGUAGUUGCUUCGCCGUCGUGCCGUCAAUGGGGUCCAGGCACAGUGCUUGCUCUGCCGAGGCUGAGUGCCGAGGUUCUUUCGUUUUGCUUUUUUUGUUAGUCACUCUCCUGCGGGGAGGGGUACUGUGUUUAUCAAACUGGAGAAACCUAACGGGCAGCUAUGAUCUCUAGGAAAUCUUUGUAACAGCUACGUAGUGAUCCCCUGCCGGACCACCUAGGUAGUGGUCAAUGGGGAUUAGCUCUCCCCGGGUAGAAAGGGAAUCACGACUCAUGGGUAAAGUGUGCAACCUCUGCAGAGGGUAGUGAAAGUGAUAUAUCAGCCGUGCUCACGGUUAAGAGCAGCCUUGGGAUCCUCUUUGAUUAGAGAUACUCCGGAUACACUUCAGAUGAUGGUUAACGAUGGUGACUUUAAUUAUGCAUUCUAGUAUUCCUUCUCGGGGGAAGUACUUCUUGGGAUUAUAACUUGGGUUUUAUGAUAAAACCUGGCUCCUACUAAUAAUAAAUACCUGACCAACUAAAAGCAACUGCUUGAGCCUAACCCCACAUAAAGCUAGUCCACUUCAGCCAAACGGGACAUUUGCUGAGUACGUUGAUGUGUACUCAUCCUUUCUUUACCACAAAACACCAGGUUGUCCACGUUGUAACCACUGCUCAGGAGAAGGUGAAGCCGUGGAAGGAGACUUCCAGGAGUUCCAAGACUACGGUGAAUUCUAGGUGUGGGUUGGCGGCAACCCCCAGUCAGCUGCCUGUGAAGGCCUCAUCUUUACUGCGUUUCGCUAGCACUUUGAUUUAUCUGUUAAGUUGAUGACUAUGUGGAUGUCUACGACUCUGUGAUGUAAUAAGUUAAUACUCUUUUAUGUUAUCAUUCAAGCAAUGUGCGUUGAUGUUCAUUUAUGUAACCGCUGUGUACGUGAGUUCUGAUCCUGGCACGUACAUAGUUCGCAUUCGGUUUGCC
Molecule: long non-coding RNA, 13882 nt
Filed under: Zea mays
Lineage: Eukaryota; Viridiplantae; Streptophyta; Magnoliopsida; Poales; Poaceae
Description: long non-coding RNA (ZMAY_LNC001797)
Source: RNAcentral